This 1414-nucleotide long non-coding RNA is filed under the name Sinocyclocheilus grahami. RNAcentral's name for it is "lncRNA (ENSSGRG00000034782.1)". The record is from RNAcentral. Lineage: Eukaryota; Metazoa; Chordata; Actinopteri; Cypriniformes; Cyprinidae.
GGUGCGACUACAGUAUAAAUCGGUGCUGGCUUCGGUGACACUUCGUUUCUGAGCAACUAUGGCGGAUCAAGUAACAGCGAUGGAAUACGGUACCCGGAUUCGCCCCCCGGCUCCAAACCGACACGCUUUUUGUCACGAACACUGCAGCAUGUGAGAAAGACUCCUCUGCCCCGGCUGAGAGGAGGGUCACGUGACUUCUCGUCCCCUCCACCGCCCAUCUCGCCCAUCAUUAAAAACGCCAUCUCUCUGCCUCAGCUGAACAUGAACGACGGCGGCCUGAUGAGGGCGCUGCUGCCCACCUCCACCAGCUCACCGGACGCACCGCUCUGCUCCUACGGUCUUCAUUCUGGUUUCGUCACGCUGCCUCGUUCAUCUCGUCUGGACCAAAGCUUUGCAGAAACGUCUAAAUUGCUCAGUUCAGAUAGUCGACAGAGCUCCUUACCUGAGAACAGCGAGGUCUCAGUGACGCGAUCUGAUUCGCUCUCGUCCUUCACGGUGGACCUCGGCCCCUCGCUCAUGAGUGAGGUGUUGGAGUUGAUUGACAGCUCCUGCUGCCUCAUUAAGAGCUGUCAAGAUGUAGAGAUUGAGGAAGAAGAGCAGCAGUGCUCUGUGUUUGAGAUGGAUCAUAAAUGUCAGACAACUCCGAUCGGAGCAGACGUCACCAUCGAGCCCAGGAGGUUCCAGCAGGCUACUAGCGUGCUAGCACGUCACUUUGGAGGAGGAAGACCUGAAGAAGAGCGUCAGAGACCUUCAUCUUUCAGACACACAAGGACGGCGUACAGCUUUACUGAGACAGAGGAUGAAAUCAAAGUAUGAACAUCAGAAAUUAAACAUAAGGACAGUUAUGAUAUUAAAAACCAGUUUGAUUUCAAAGACAAUCUUUAUUUAUAAGAGUUUUGGAAAUAAGAAUCCAGGGAUUUUUUUUAAAGGACUUGAAAGACACCUGCUAUACAGUCAGUGCACGAAUGGAGAGCCAUCUUUCUCUAAAAAUAAACAUAAUUCAGAUGAACAAACAUUCAGCUGUAAAUUUAUUUUUUAAUCUUGGAAUCAAGUAUAUAUUCGAUGAAACUGUUCUGUACAUAUUUUCACAAGUACAUUUAUAUUUUAUGUUGUUUAAAUGUGCAUAUGCAUUUACAAAACCAGAAUGCAGUGACCAGGAUCUUUAGCAUCUACAGUUAAUUAAAUAUAGAUCUACAGCAGAUCUGUCUGCUAAAGCCAGUGUGAACACAAAUACAUUCAUUUUAUUUGUAUUUUUUUCAUUGUGACAUUUAGAUUUUAUAAAUAAAUAUCAUUCAUAUAUUUUAACAGAAUAAUUGGUCCAGUUUUAUACUUAACGCUGACAGAUAUAUGUAUUUCUGAGCGAACAAGUAAUUUUAAUAACAAAUGAAUAAUAGUCAUAUAUGCAGUGAAUAUA